RNAcentral lists this ribosomal RNA (238 nucleotides) under uncultured bacterium. RNAcentral describes it as "partial 16S ribosomal RNA". It matches the Rfam family "Bacterial small subunit ribosomal RNA", at positions 96 to 334 of the family's 1533-position model. The record is from RNAcentral.
CGGCGGACGGGUGAGUAACGCGUGGGUAACCUGCCUCAUACAGGGGGAUAACAGUUGGAAACGGCUGCUAAUACCGCAUAAGCGCACAGUACCGCAUGGUACGGUGUGAAAAACUCCGGUGGUACGAGAUGGACCCGCGUCUGAUUAGGUAGUUGGUGGGGUAACGGCCUACCAAGCCGACGAUCAGUAGCCGACCUGAGAGGGUGACCGGCCACAUUGGGACUGAGACACGGCCCAA